Molecule: transfer RNA, 64 nt
Filed under: Dipodomys ordii (Ord's kangaroo rat)
Lineage: Eukaryota; Metazoa; Chordata; Mammalia; Rodentia; Heteromyidae
Rfam family: tRNA
About the family: Transfer RNA (tRNA) molecules are approximately 80 nucleotides in length.
Source: Rfam by way of RNAcentral
GGUGGCUCAGUGGUAGAGCGCUUGCCUUGCAUGCCUGAAGCCCUGGGUUCGAUUCCUAGUACCA